UGCGGAGGAUCCGAGCGUUAUCCGGAUUUAUUGGGUUUAAAGGGUGCGCAGGCGGGAGAUUAAGUCGGCGGUGAAAUUUUGCAGCUCAACUGUAAAAGUGCCUUCGAAACUGGUUUCCUUGAGUGUAGAUGAAGUAGGCGGAAUUUGUGGUGUAGCGGUGAAAUGCAUAGAUAUCACGAGGAACUCCGAUUGCGCAGGCAGCUUACUAAACUACUACUGACGCUCAGGCACGAAGGCGUGGGGAUCAAACAGGAUUAGAUACCCU
Molecule: ribosomal RNA, 265 nt
Filed under: uncultured prokaryote
Description: partial 16S ribosomal RNA
Rfam family: Bacterial small subunit ribosomal RNA
Source: RNAcentral